RNAcentral lists this ribosomal RNA (253 nucleotides) under uncultured bacterium. Its description in RNAcentral is "partial 16S ribosomal RNA". It matches the Rfam family "Bacterial small subunit ribosomal RNA", at positions 524 to 776 of the family's 1533-position model. The record is from RNAcentral.
UACAGAGGUCUCAAGCGUUGUUCGGAUUCAUUGGGCGUAAAGGGUGCGUAGGUGGCGCCGUAAGUCGGGUGUGAAAUUUCGGAGCUUAACUCCGAAACUGCAUUCGAUACUGCGGUGCUUGAGGACUGGAGAGGAGACUGGAAUUCAUGGUGUAGCAGUGAAAUGCGUAGAGAUCAUGAGGAAGACCAGUGGCGAAGGCGGGCCUCUGGACAGUUCCUGACACUGAGGCACGGAGGCCAGGGGAGCAAACGGG